GUCUUUUUGUUAUUUAUUUAAAGUUUGGCCUGCUCCAUGACUAAGUUAAAUAGCCGCAGUAUCUUGACUGUGCAAAGGUAGCAUAAUCAUUAGUUUUUUAAUUGAAAGCUGGAAUGAAGGGUCGGAUGAGAAAGAAUCUGUCUCACUCUAAUAUAUUUGAAUUUUAUUUUUAAGUUAAAAAGCUUAAAUUUUAUAGAAAGACGAGAAGACCCUAUAGAGUUUAAUAAGUCAAGAUUUGAUUACCUGAGGGUUUAAAUGUAAUUAUUUUUUUACUUGUUUUGUUGGGGUGACAUUAGAAUUGAGUAAACUUCUAAGUAUUUAUACAUUGAUUUAUGAAUUAAUGAUCCUGAUUUUUGGAUUUUAAGAUCAAAUUACCUUAGGGAUAACAGCGUAAUCUUUUUGGAGAGUUCUAAUCAAUAAAAGGGAUUGCGACCUCGAUGUUGGAUUAAAGUUAAGUUUCGGUGUAGGAGCUGAAAUUUUGAGUCUGUUCGACUUUUAAAACUUUACA
This 508-nucleotide ribosomal RNA is filed under the name Meloe sp. TJH2004. RNAcentral describes it as "partial 16S ribosomal RNA". It matches the Rfam family "Bacterial large subunit ribosomal RNA", at positions 1830 to 2600 of the family's 2925-position model. Lineage: Eukaryota; Metazoa; Arthropoda; Insecta; Coleoptera; Meloidae. The record is from RNAcentral.